Molecule: long non-coding RNA, 4220 nt
Filed under: Sus scrofa (pig)
Lineage: Eukaryota; Metazoa; Chordata; Mammalia; Artiodactyla; Suidae
Description: lncRNA (ENSSSCG00035054199.1)
Source: RNAcentral
GGACGCCAGGCCCAGGUCUUGGAGACCCCCUUACAACUGACCUCCCAGGGCCUAAUCUGAGACCAACCAAGUCUGACGCCUUCGCGGUCGGUCGGUCGUUAGGACUCCACGUGCCCCUCCCUGCAGUGUCAUCUAGAAAAUAAUUCCUAGACCUGUACGUUACAGACUGCCGCUUACAAUCUGGUUCUGGGCCAGAGCGCCCCACCCGCAGAAAGGCUGGAUUCUUUGAUUUCCACAUUCACCAGCUCUCUAAAAGCAAACCCGAGAGGGAGGGCAUGGCCGAGGGUGGGGACGUCCUAAAAUAUUCGAGAGCAUUCGAGUAGGAAGAGAAGCUUACAAUAUCCCUCUACCGGCGGGUGGCGGCCUGGAGCGAGGCUCCCCGCACUGCGAGAGAAGGGUGUGUGCGCUCGCCCGGGGUUGGGCGGGGGGCAGGAAGAGGAGGGAGGAGAAGGGGUGGGGUGAGCCGAGGCCCUGACACCCUCCCAGGCUCCUCCUGCCUCCCCCUGCCUCCCCCCCCUCCCCGCCCCCUUGUACUAAGGCGCCCAGCCGGCGGCGCUCCUCUCACUGGCCGCGCGUCCCCGCCAGCGGAGCGUCCCCGCCGCGCCUCCUGCCAAGGAUCAAAUUCAAGAAUGCCUUCUGGGUUUAAUUCCCCAUCCUACCCGCCACCUCCCAGGUUUGGUUUUGUUUUGUUUUUCUUUUAAAAUCCCCAAAGCAAAAGGAAGGAAACCCUAAGCACAUUUUAGACAACAGAUGUUUGUUUUUACUGACACUCUGCCAAUUAUUUUCUGGGUGGGCUGUAAGAAAACUAGGGUAUGGACAAGACACAGAAGAGCAAAGUAAAUCGGACUUCUUGCUUUUUAGAAGUCUCCUUUUUGAAAUUACGGCCUGGAUCUGGGUCCAGAGCAAACAUUUGGUAUUGGUUUGGAGCAGACACGUUCCAAAGGAGGCCUCCUACUUCCCAGCUACUCCCAGGAGGAUCAAAAUGUGUACUGUCAUCAAUUUCUGAACUCUUACUGAUUCAUUGAGCAGAUUCUGAGGACAGGGUGCUAGCUACUGGGGCCCUGCUUCAGGAGCCCACAGUCUGCUGGGGGAAAGAAACGGAAACGUAGUUAACUGGAAUUCAGGACAUAGUUUAAAGCAGAACGACAUUAGCUGGUGAACUCCCCGAAGACAAGUACCAGGGAGUUGGGGAGCAUGCACACGUGUGCAUGCCUAAUACCAGGCCUGGAUCAUGCAAAGGAGGGGUUCAGUAUAGGAAAAGCAAAAAUGGAAAACUGAAUUCCCACCACUGUGCCUAAAUUUGUAGAGUCCAGGAGUUCCCAUUGUGGCUCAGCGGAAACAAAUCUGACUAACAUCCAUGAGGACGCUGGUUUGAUCCCUGGCCUCGCUCAGUGGGUUAAGGAUCUGGUGUUUCCAUGAGCUGUGGUAUAGGUCACAGACGAGGCUCGGACCUGGCAUUGCUAUGGCUGUGGCGUAGGCCAGCAGCUACAGCUCCGAUUCGACCCCCAGCCUGGGAACCUCUAUAUUCCACAGUGCAGCCCUAAAAAGAUGAAAAAAAAAAAAAUUUGUAGAGUCCAGAAUUCUUUUCUGAAGAGAAAACUACACAGAAAGACCUCUGAGCUUCCACUCUUCAGACCAGUAGAGGGGAUAUACAGAUAUCAGAAUAAAAUGAUUCAAUAAAAGGCGAGUGAACAAUGAAGUGGUUAGAGCCUGUGGAGCUCACAGUGAGAAGGCAGUAAAGUAGGAUAAAUCAAAACAGCAAGAGUUAGGAGUUCCCGUCGUGGCGCAGUGGUUAACGAAUCCGACUAGGAACCAUGAGGUUGAGGGUCGAUCCCUGGCCUUGCUCAGUGGGUUAAGGAUUCGGCGUUGCCGUGAGCUGUGGUGUAGGUUGCAGAUGCAGCUCGGAUCCCGAGUUGCUGUGGCUCUGGCAUAGGCCGGCAGCUGCAGCUGCGAUUCAACCCCUAGCCUGGGAACCUCCAUAUGCUGUGGGAGUCGCCCUAGAAAAGGCAAAAAGACAAAAAACAAAACAAAACAGCAAGAGUGAGAAGAGAGAGACAAGUGUCGGGUGACCAGACCUGUUGAGCAGGACACAGUCUGUUAUGGAAUGCACUCUGUUAUGUUCUCCUCUGUUCUCUGCUCUGGAAUGUACUCUGCUGUUCAUUCAUAGGCCGGCUUGCCCUUCCCAGCGCUCACCUCCUCCCGAAGAGCUCUGAGCCUCAAGGGCUUCAGCCCAGACCUGGCUAAUUACACCUCAACUCCAGCCAAAGGGAUUGAUUCAUUCGUUGGUUCACUAACAAACACUGAUUUAGUGGUUCAUGGAUAAAACAGAAUAAUUCACAGUUCUUAACUAGAGGAACCUAAAUCUAAGACAGACAAGUCUGUAAAUGACUAAAUGGAUGGAGUGUUUCAGGUGCAAGAGUAGGUUGUCUGGGGCACAGAGAGGAUGCUGCUGCCUCCCAGCCCCAGACCCAAGGCUAUCCAGUGGAAGUGUUUCUGAGCCAGAAACUAGAGUCCAACCCCUGUCCUGGAAUGGAGCUCACCGGAUGACUGGGUGGAUGGAAAUACCAGAUUCAGGUCCCCGAACUGCUGUUUUAUCAACCAGUGGUCAGUGCUGCUGCCAUCAUCCCAGCCUGAGCAAGGCCUGCCUAGGAUGGGAGGGCUGAGCCGGCUGACUCAGUUGGGCAGCUGCCUCACUCUAGAAGAGCUGCACGAUUUAUCCACCAGCCGAGAGAGCAGUGUUAAUGACAUUUCCCCCUUUUCCUUCAUCUUACUUUAAAACCAGUGUGUGGGAUCUACACCACAGCUUGCAGCAAUGCUGGAUCCUUAACCCGCUGAGUGAGGCCAGAGAGUGAACCCAAGUCCUCAUGGAUGCAAGUCGGGUUCCUGAACCAUUGAGCCAUGACGGGAACUCCCCCUCUCCUCUGGUUUUCAAAACUAUUUUCCUUUUCACGACCGUGGAUCUUCUGAUCAGCCCCUGUUCUGCCUUCUUAUUGCAGACAGUCUUCCAGACAAACAGGGAGUCUUCUGGCUGCUGUGUGCACAGCCCAUGUGCUGAGUAUACAGCAAAGGGGAUCCGGUGGGGCAGAAAAGCUCCAGCACUGGAUAAUGAGCACAGACUAGGAAGGGGUGGGUUUGGAGUGACCUGAUACCUGAGUGCUCCUCAGAGAAAACUGGUCUCAGUCUCUUGAAGAACAUAUUCAAGGGUGGCCAAGACUUCCUCAGCUUACAACCUGUAUUUCUUAGAAGUUCCUAAAUUAGCCUGUUUUCUAUUUUAGGGGUCCUUAGCCUGCUGCCUUCCCUUUCUUAAUUCUCUGGCUUUGCUGUGCAUCUUCCUUCUGUUCCACCCUGUGAAGAAAGUAAACUCGGUAUCCCACAGCCAUUUGGAGUUUCUGGGACCCUCAGGCAUUGGUUAUGAAGGACUCUGCCACUUGAGCUAGAGGUAUUUUUAAACCUCUGUGGUGGCUGACUGCUUUCCUAGUUAUUCAGAACUGGGGUGGGACGCCACACAGCCUUCUCCCAUAGGUGAUUCAUUCAGCUCAGAUCUCUUAAGUUGCUGUACUUCCAGAGCCAAUCUCGGCCACUGCCAUCUGAAGCCCACUGCCAUCUGAAGCCAGAUCCUGACUGUGUCAGAAGAAAGGAGAAAAGGUUUCAACAGACCUCACGAAAAUGCCGUCUCAAAUGGAACAUGCCAUGGAAACCAUGAUGUUCACAUUUCACAAAUUUGCUGGGGAUAAAGGCUACCUAACAAAGGAGGACCUGAGAGUACUCAUGGAAAAGGAGUUCCCGGGAUUUUUGGAAAAUCAAAAAGACCCUCUGGCUGUGGACAAAAUAAUGAAGGACCUGGACCAGUGCCGAGAUGGGAAAGUGGGCUUCCAGAGCUUCUUUUCGCUAAUCGCUGGGCUCACCAUCGCAUGCAAUGACUAUUUUGUUGUACACAUGAAGCAGAAGGGAAAGAAGUAGGCAGCACUGAGCAAUCAUGCCGCCCUGAUAAGAAUUCUCACAAAGGGUCGCUUAAGGAAUCUGCCCCCCCAGCUUCUCCCUGUAUAAGGAUUUCCUGAGCAGACUGGGACCCUUAGAAAGUGUACAAAUAAAACCCAACUCUGCUUUGAGAAGCAGAGAAAGACAAGUCAAUUAAGCCCAGAUAAGCUUUUGAUUUUUAUAUUGCUUGCAUCCUCUUACCCUCAAUAAACAAAUUUCCUUUUUUAGUUCUGAAUUUGAAA